Molecule: unclassified non-coding RNA, 1587 nt
Filed under: Homalodisca vitripennis (glassy-winged sharpshooter)
Lineage: Eukaryota; Metazoa; Arthropoda; Insecta; Hemiptera; Cicadellidae
Description: pyrokinin-1 receptor-like, transcript variant X5
Source: RNAcentral
GCCAGAAAUUGUAAUGGAUAUACGAUAAUAUUUUAUAGAGUGAAUUUUAAUUAACAGAAAGUAUUAUUGUUUCCGUGUGUGCCAAAGAUAGCAAAUGCUAAUCUGACCCUGAGGAGCCGGUUGAAAUCUUGCAUUAAUAAAAAGCACAGAUAACGAAGCCAGUUCUGAUCGCUCACUUGCGUCAGUGAUAUAGUGAUUAGUGAUAUCACAGUUGUUCCGGAGUGUUGCUGUUAGCAAGACGUUACAUUAUAACAGCAUGGCUGACUUCUUCAAUAUAAAAUUUCGAGUAAUGGAGGAGGCGUUGGCGAACAAUGGGACGUCAUCGGAUGUGUAUCCGCUGCAGGAAAAGCGCGACCCUCUCUACAUCGUGGUGCCCAUCACCAUCGUCUACACGGUCAUCUUCUUCUCGGGGGUGACCGGAAACGUGGUGACCUGCGUGGUGAUUGCACGCAACAAGCACAUGCACACCGCCACCAACUACUAUCUCUUCAGUCUGGCCAUCUCCGACCUGCUCCUGCUCGUGUCCGGACUGCCUCAAGAGAUGUACUCAAUCUGGUCUAAGUACCCUUACGUGUUCGGUGAGGUGUUCUGUGUGCUGCGUGGCCUUGCUGCUGAAACCUCUGCUAACGCAACUGUGCUGACCAUCACCGCCUUCACCGUGGAGAGAUACGUCGCCAUCUGUCACCCGUUCUUCGCCCACACCCUCAGCAAGCUGUCGCGGGCUGUGCGCCUCAUCCUGGUCAUCUGGGCUGUCGCGCUUGGCUUCGCCAUUCCACAGGCCCUCCAGUUCGGUGUGACAGAUGGUUCGCGUCCAGAUCAAAUCCAAUGCCAAGUGGUGAAAAUCAUCGUGAAGCACUCCUUCGAAAUCUCGACGUUCCUGUUUUUCGCGCUUCCCAUGACUGUGAUCACAGUGCUGUACGCACUGAUUGGACUACGACUGCGGCGAUCCGCCUUGCUCAAGAAGUCCUCAGGUUCCUUCAGCCACCACCAGGAGGCCAGUAGGAGCGCCUGCAGAUCUACAUCCUCCAAGAGGGUCCUCAAGAUGCUAGUGGCAGUGGUGGUUGCCUUCUUCAUCUGUUGGGCGCCAUUCCACGCCCAACGACUAGUAGCUAUCUACGGUGUUCACUGGAACGAGCCCGUGUCCCCCUUGGCCAUACAGGUCUACACUGUGGUCACCUACUUUUCGGGCAUUCUCUAUUACGUGUCCACCACCGUCAACCCCAUCCUCUAUCACAUCAUGUCACUCAAAUUCCGGGAGGCAUUCAAGGUCCUGUUGUGUUGUCCUGAUAGGACAGCUUGUCCCGGUGCUGCUGUCCCAAGGACCGACGACGAAGUUACGCCGUGCUCUCCCGUCGGCAGAGGUCGCUCGUUGUGCUCGGUUCCAAGAGCGUGACAGACUCAGGACCUUCUCACUCCCACUCGGACACUCGCGAACGAGCAGACGUCGUUGUAAGGCGACAGACGUCAGAAAGCAGCUGCAUGAUAUCAGACUCGAUGGAGACAAGACUCGGAGCCGAGGACAAGCGCCCCCUAGCUAACCACAAGCACAACAUCAGCAACUCCAGUCUCAGAGCAGCAGACUGUGAG